This 477-nucleotide ribosomal RNA is filed under the name uncultured anaerobic ammonium-oxidizing bacterium. RNAcentral's name for it is "bacterial SSU rRNA". It matches the Rfam family "Bacterial small subunit ribosomal RNA", at positions 365 to 832 of the family's 1533-position model. The record is from RNAcentral.
UUCGCAAUGCCCGAAAGGGUGACGAAGCGACGCCGCGUGCGGGAAGAAGGCCUUCGGGUUGUAAACCGCUGUCGGGAGUUAGGAAAUGCAAGGAUGUUAAUAGCGUCUUUGCUUGACUAAGGCUCCGGAGGAAGCCACGGCUAACUCUGUGCCAGCAGCCGCGGUAAUACAGAGGCGGCAAGCGUUGUUCGGAAUUAUUGGGCGUAAAGAGCACGUAGGCGGCCCUGCAAGUCAGUUGUGAAAGCCUUCCGCUUAACGGGAGAACGGCAGCUGAAACUACGGGGCUAGAGUACGGGAGGGGAGAGUGGAACUUCUGGUGGAGCGGUGAAAUGCGUAGAUAUCAGAAGGAACGCCGGCGGCGAAAGCGACUCUCUGGACCGAAACUGACGCUGAGUGUGCGAAAGCUAGGGGAGCAAACAGGAUUAGAUACCCCGGUAGUCCUAGCCGUAAACGAUGGGCACUAAGUAGAGGGGUUUU